UGAUAGUCAGUCGGUUAGUUAUGACAGUUACGGAAACAUGGGGGGAGGGGCGAGCUUGCUCUGUUUUGUUUUGAAUUUACUUGAAACGCUCAACAGAAGUAUCG
This is a long non-coding RNA of Etheostoma cragini (Arkansas darter), 104 nucleotides long. RefSeq lists it as uncharacterized. The record is from RefSeq and is a predicted model, not a curated record. NCBI's taxonomy places the organism in Eukaryota, Metazoa, Chordata, Actinopteri, Perciformes, Percidae. The transcript is spliced from 3 exons.